UACAGAGGGGGCAAGCGUUGUUCGGAAUUACUGGGCGUAAAGGGCGCGUAGGCGGCCCGCUAAGUCGGACGUGAAAUCCCUCAGCUUAACUGGGGAACUGCGUCCGAUACUGGAUGGCUUGGAUUUGGGAGAGGGAUGCGGAAUUCCAGGUGUAGCGGUGAAAUGCGUAGAUAUCUGGAGGAACACCGGUGGCGAAGGCGGCAUCCUGGACCAAUAUUGACGCUGAGGAGCGAAAGCUAGGGGAGCAAACGGGG
Molecule: ribosomal RNA, 254 nt
Filed under: uncultured bacterium
Lineage: Bacteria
Description: partial 16S ribosomal RNA
Rfam family: Bacterial small subunit ribosomal RNA
Source: RNAcentral